This 88-nucleotide transfer RNA is filed under the name Candidatus Woesebacteria bacterium CG_4_10_14_0_2_um_filter_44_9. RNAcentral describes it as "tRNA-Ser". It matches the Rfam family "tRNA". Rfam says of the family: Transfer RNA (tRNA) molecules are approximately 80 nucleotides in length. Their secondary structure includes four short double-helical elements and three loops (D, anti-codon, and T loops). Further hydrogen bonds mediate the characteristic L-shaped molecular structure. tRNAs have two regions of fundamental functional importance: the anti-codon, which is responsible for specific mRNA codon recognition, and the 3' end, to which the tRNAs corresponding amino acid is attached (by aminoacyl-tRNA synthetases). tRNAs cope with the degeneracy of the genetic code in two manners: having more than one tRNA (with a specific anti-codon) for a particular amino acid; and 'wobble' base-pairing, i.e. permitting non-standard base-pairing at the 3rd anti-codon position. Lineage: Bacteria; Candidatus Woeseibacteriota. The record is from RNAcentral. RNAcentral also lists the same sequence under 1 other name.
GGAGGAUAUGCCGAGCGGCUUAGGCAAAAGUUUGCUAAACUUUGACCGCGUAAGCGGUCGGUGGGUUCGACUCCCGCAUCCUCCGCCA